GACGAACGCUGGCGGCGUGCCUAAUACAUGCAAGUAGAACGCACGGUUUAUACCGUAGCUUGCUACACCAUAGACUGUGAGUUGCGAACGGGUGAGUAACGCGUAGGUAACCUGCCUGGUAGCGGGGGAUAACUAUUGGAAACGAUAGCUAAUACCGCAUAAUAUUAAUUAUUGCAUGAUAAUUAAUUGAAAGGUGCAAUUGCACCACUACCAGAUGGACCUGCGUUGUAUUAGCUAGUAGGUGAGGUAACGGCUCACCUAGGCGACGAUACAUAGCCGACCUGAGAGGGUGAUCGGCCACACUGGGACUGAGACACGGCCCAGACUCCUACGGGAGGCAGCAGUAGGGAAUCUUCGGCAAUAGACGAAAGUCUGACCGAGCAACGCCGCGUGAGUGAAGAAGGUUUUCGGAUCGUAAAGCUCUGUUGUAAGAGAAGAACGGGUGUGAGAGUGGAAAGUUCACACUGUGACGGUAUCUUACCAGAAAGGGACGGCUAACUACGUG
RNAcentral lists this ribosomal RNA (505 nucleotides) under uncultured bacterium. RNAcentral describes it as "partial 16S ribosomal RNA". It matches the Rfam family "Bacterial small subunit ribosomal RNA", at positions 28 to 507 of the family's 1533-position model. The record is from RNAcentral.